GGAAUCUGGAAAUGAACAGUUGCGCCUUCAAAAUCUGGCAGUGCAGAUUCAAGGUCGUGUAGAGACGUCCAGCGUUCAUCUCCUCCUCCACUGAAAAAGCCUAAAGCGCCUGCACCUGGAGUUAUGACUUCAAAACCUACCAGUAAGUUCCCCUUUGUAAAUAUCAAUCUUGAGUGCUUCAUUACCAAAUCAUUCAUACCUACUUCCUCUGGCUGCUGCUAUCACUUCUAGCACUGUAAAUCUACCCUUCAGAGACUACAAAAAAUUGUACAUUCAUCCAUAAGUUAUUUUCACGUUUGUUUUUGCUUAUUUUCUAGGUGCU
This 322-nucleotide long non-coding RNA is filed under the name Oryctolagus cuniculus (rabbit). RNAcentral's name for it is "lncRNA (ENSOCUG00000032465.1)". The record is from RNAcentral. Lineage: Eukaryota; Metazoa; Chordata; Mammalia; Lagomorpha; Leporidae.